GGCCCCAUAGCUCAGUUGGUCAGAGCAUCCGGCUCAUAACCGGCGGGUCCCAGGUUCAAGUCCUGGUGGGGCCA
RNAcentral lists this transfer RNA (74 nucleotides) under bacterium. RNAcentral describes it as "tRNA-Ile". It matches the Rfam family "tRNA". Rfam says of the family: Transfer RNA (tRNA) molecules are approximately 80 nucleotides in length. Their secondary structure includes four short double-helical elements and three loops (D, anti-codon, and T loops). The record is from RNAcentral. RNAcentral also lists the same sequence under 1 other name.